UGGGGAAUAUUGGACAAUGGGCGCAAGCCUGAUCCAGCCAUGCCGCGUGAGUGAUGAAGGCCCUAGGGUUGUAAAGCUCUUUUGUCCGGGACGAUAAUGACGGUACCGGAAGAAUAAGCCCCGGCUACUUCGUGCCAGCAGCCGCGGUAAUACGUAGGGCGCAAGCGUUGUCCGGAUUUAUUGGGCGUAAAGAGCUCGUAGGCGGCCUGUCGCGUCUGCUGUGAAAGUCCGGGGCUUAACUCCGGGUGUGCAGUGGAUACGGGCAGGCUUGAGGUAGGUAGGGGAGACUGGAAUUCCUGGUGUAGCGGUGAAAUGCGCAGAUAUCAGGAGGAACACCGGUGGCGAAGGCGGGUCUCUGGGCCUUACCUGACGCUGAGGAGCGAAAGCGUGGGGAGCGAACAGGAUUAGAUACC
This 413-nucleotide ribosomal RNA is filed under the name uncultured bacterium. RNAcentral's name for it is "bacterial SSU rRNA". It matches the Rfam family "Bacterial small subunit ribosomal RNA", at positions 355 to 786 of the family's 1533-position model. The record is from RNAcentral.